Molecule: ribosomal RNA, 484 nt
Filed under: uncultured bacterium
Lineage: Bacteria
Description: partial 16S ribosomal RNA
Rfam family: Bacterial small subunit ribosomal RNA
Source: RNAcentral
AUUGAACGCUGGCGGCAGGCCUAACACAUGCAAGUCGAGCGGAUGAAGGGAGCUUGCUCCUGGAUUCAGCGGCGGACGGGUGAGUAAUGCCUAGGAAUCUGCCUGGUAGUGGGGGAUAACGUCCGGAAACGGGCGCUAAUACCGCCUACGUCCUGAGGGAGAAAGUGGGGGAUCUUCGGACCUCACGCUAUCAGAUGAGCCUAGGUCGGAUUAGCUAGUUGGUGGGGUAAAGGCCUACCAAGGCGACGAUCCGUAACUGGUCUGAGAGGAUGAUCAGUCACACUGGAACUGAGACACGGUCCAGACUCCUACGGGAGGCAGCAGUGGGGAAUAUUGGACAAUGGGCGAAAGCCUGAUCCAGCCAUGGCGCGUGUGUGAAGAAGGUCUUCGGAUUGUAAAGCACUUUAAGUUGGGAGGAAGGGCAGUAAGUUAAUACCUUGCUGUUUUGACGUUACCAACAGAAUAAGCACCGGCUAACUUCGUG